GGUACAGGAUUCAUAGACCUUCUUAGAGAGAAAAAAUCGAUCAUGAGAAAGAAAGUAGAGAGAGAAUCUUCGUAUCCUUUAGAAGAGUCGAUUAUGAUUAAGAUCAUCAGAGAUCAUAUCAAGAUGACUCAAUAUGGAUUAACUAUAAUUAGAUGCUAUAAAUUUCAAAUAAAGAUUGGACUGGGAUCCAACCUACUGCACGA
RNAcentral lists this long non-coding RNA (203 nucleotides) under Elaeis guineensis (African oil palm). RNAcentral's name for it is "long non-coding RNA (EGUI_LNC056850)". Lineage: Eukaryota; Viridiplantae; Streptophyta; Magnoliopsida; Arecales; Arecaceae. The record is from RNAcentral.